CGGCUGUGUGGGUGGGUGGAGCAGGCAGUGGUGUUGAAGUUGGAUUACUCCUCCAAAUGGGUUUAGGUUUGGUGAAUUAGAUUCUUGCAUCUUUUAAAAGACAAGGGAGUGACCCUGAUGUAGGGGAGUGAACCCAUUGCGAUCUAACACCAAACCCUGAUCUGGGUUUACCCGCACCAAAUUUUGACCAUCUCCACCGACCCUUUUUCUGUCGCCAAGUGAAAAGGUGAAGAGCCACGGGAAUCCAGCUCGGCAACGAGUUCGGGGUUCAGACUCAGUAACU
Molecule: long non-coding RNA, 283 nt
Filed under: Malus domestica (apple)
Lineage: Eukaryota; Viridiplantae; Streptophyta; Magnoliopsida; Rosales; Rosaceae
Description: long non-coding RNA (MDOM_LNC003177)
Source: RNAcentral